GGGGGCGUAGCUCAAUGGUAGAGCAACGGACUUUUAAUCCGUAGGUUCUGGGUUCGAGUCCCAGCGCCCUCA
RNAcentral lists this transfer RNA (72 nucleotides) under Gemmatimonadota bacterium. Its description in RNAcentral is "tRNA-Lys". It matches the Rfam family "tRNA". From Rfam's summary of the family: Transfer RNA (tRNA) molecules are approximately 80 nucleotides in length. Their secondary structure includes four short double-helical elements and three loops (D, anti-codon, and T loops). RNAcentral also lists the same sequence under 1 other name. Lineage: Bacteria; Pseudomonadati; Gemmatimonadota. The record is from RNAcentral.